RNAcentral lists this ribosomal RNA (253 nucleotides) under uncultured bacterium. Its description in RNAcentral is "partial 16S ribosomal RNA". It matches the Rfam family "Bacterial small subunit ribosomal RNA", at positions 524 to 776 of the family's 1533-position model. The record is from RNAcentral.
UACGUAGGGUGCAAGCGUUGUCCGGAAUUAUUGGGCGUAAAGAGCUCGUAGGCGGUCUGUCGCGUCGGAUGUGAAAACUCGGGGCUCAACCCCGGGCCUGCAUUCGAUACGGGCAGACUAGAGUUCGGCAGGGGAGACUGGAAUUCCUGGUGUAGCGGUGAAAUGCGCAGAUAUCAGGAGGAACACCGGCGGCGAAGGCGGCCCUCUGGAUCGUUGCUGACGCUGAGACGCGAAAGCGUGGGGAGCAAACAGG